UUUCGCAAUGCCCGAAAGGGUGACGAAGCGACGCCGCGUGAGUGAGGAAGGCCUUCGGGUUGUAAAGCUCUGUCAGGAGUUAAGAAAUAUAAGUGUGUUAAUACCACAUUUAUUUGACGAAGGCUCCAAAGGAAGCCACGGCUAGCUCUGUGCCAGCAGCCGCGGUAAUACAGAGGUGGCAAGCGUUGUUCGGAAUUAUUGGGCGUAAAGAGCACGUAGGUGGGUUUGUAAGUCAGAUGUGAAAGCCUUCUGUUCAACGGAAGAAUUGCAUCUGAAACUGCGAGUCUUGAGUGUAGGAGGGGAGAAUGGAACUUCUGGUGGAGCGGUGAAAUGCGUAGAUAUCAGAAGGAACGCCGGCGGCGAAAGCGAUUCUCUGGCCUAUUACUGACACUCGGUGUGCGAAAGCUAGGGGAGCAAACGGGAUUAGAUACCCCGGUAGUCCUAGCUGUAAACGAUGGGCACUAAGUAGAGGGGUUUUA
This 479-nucleotide ribosomal RNA is filed under the name uncultured anaerobic ammonium-oxidizing bacterium. RNAcentral describes it as "bacterial SSU rRNA". It matches the Rfam family "Bacterial small subunit ribosomal RNA", at positions 364 to 833 of the family's 1533-position model. The record is from RNAcentral.